AUGAUGAAAGAAAUAAUGGAAACUAGUGAAGAUCUUGGGAAGGCUUUAAGGAAAAAAAUGUAAGACAUAGUAAAUGCAAUUCGUCUAGUGCAUUCCACAAAACUACUUUGAGAAGAGAUGAGAUCAGAUGAAGGACGUGAGUUUUUCUUUGGAAAUGUUGUUGAGUUCUAUGUGGAUCAUGGUAUAGAUAUUCCAUGCAUGGAGGAACUAUACAUUCUGCGUGGUGGGCGUGCUCGUCGUCAAUCUGAUCACUUUACUACUAAAAGGUAUCUAAGAGUGUAGACAUUUCAAGCAGUAAUUGACAACCAACUAACUGAAUUAAAUCUUAGGUUCAAUGAUAAAGUGAUGGAUCUCUUAUCCAUUUGUGUUACAUUGAUACCAAGAAAUGGAUUUACAUCUUUUAGUGCUAAGGAAAUAUAUUCAUUGGAGAAAUAUUAUCCGAUUGAUUUUACACAACAAGAGACAUAUGGGUUGGAGAUUCAGCUCAACCACUUUUUUGUGGAUGCUAAAAAUAGUGGAGACUUGAAGAAGCCCAUCACCAUAACUUCUUUAUGUCGAUGCCUUGUUGAGAUAGGACAAGAUGGUAUUUACAAUUUGCUUGAUAGGGUUGCUUCGAUUACUUGUUACUCACCGGUUUCCACUGCAAGUGUUGAGCGUGCUUUCUCGAGCUUGAAGAUUAUCAAGUCCAGACUAUGUAGUCGUAUGGAAUAUGAUUUUCUUACAGGGAGUUUGUUGCUACAGAUUGAACGAGAAAUUGUGUAAAAAACUCCUUGGGAUGAUAUAAUUGCUGAUUUCAAAAGUAGGAAGAAUAGAAGAGUGUAUCUCUAG
RNAcentral lists this ribosomal RNA (828 nucleotides) under Triticum aestivum (bread wheat). Its description in RNAcentral is "partial small subunit ribosomal RNA". The record is from RNAcentral. Lineage: Eukaryota; Viridiplantae; Streptophyta; Magnoliopsida; Poales; Poaceae.